CCAAAUUUGGUUAAUAAGUAGCUGAAACUACAAUAAGUAACUGAAGUAAAAUGGGCCAAAAGCUCAUAAGAAUCGAGUGAGUUAUGGCUGUUUGAAAUGAAGGCACGUGCAUGGAAUGCAAUUUCUGGCUUUGUGGGUUUAGCUAGGCCUAAAGUGGCCCACACAUCGCGAAUGGAGCCCAAAUUUUGUGUGAAAUCUCGUAAAAAAAGGAUAGGAAGAUGUAUGGCGUCUAGAUAAGGAUUGAAGACUCUAGAAUAACUUAAAGACUAAGUAAAGGAUGAGAUAAGGAUAAGAAUGAAACUUGAGGAUGUUUAAAUGGCCAAUCACAUUUUACCACCUCUCCUACAUUUAUCAACUUGCAUGAACAUCCUUCCCCUAUAAUAUGGGUGUGGGAAGAAGGAAAAAGCAUUCUAGAGUUGAGAGAGUAAGAUUAGAGAGAGAAAGAGAAAAAUAAAAAGAGAGCAAAUGGGAAGAAACUCAAUAAAAGUGAGGGAAGUUGAUGGAAUUCAAGAGUUCCUCCUUGAGGAAAGUCUAUUGAAUUAUGAGAGAUAGAUAGAGAGAGAAAAAGGAAGAAGGAAAGAAAAAAAAAGAAAGAAGGGAAAAGGAAAGUGAAAGCUCACAGCCAACCAAGGGAGAACCCACGGGCUUAAGGUGAGUUUUCUCUUUCAUUUUAAUUUUAUUUCUCUUGAAACUUUGAGGAUGAUUUUAAGUGGCAUGUGUAGUAUUUAUGUGGUUAGAUAUUUCUCACAAACAGCUUAGAACUCUACUAGAUUUUUAAUAGUAAAAGCUUAGAAAUUAAGUUGAGACUUUGUUGGAGUU
RNAcentral lists this long non-coding RNA (819 nucleotides) under Carica papaya (papaya). RNAcentral describes it as "long non-coding RNA (CPAP_LNC005342)". Lineage: Eukaryota; Viridiplantae; Streptophyta; Magnoliopsida; Brassicales; Caricaceae. The record is from RNAcentral.